RNAcentral lists this ribosomal RNA (323 nucleotides) under uncultured bacterium. Its description in RNAcentral is "bacterial SSU rRNA". It matches the Rfam family "Bacterial small subunit ribosomal RNA", at positions 28 to 352 of the family's 1533-position model. The record is from RNAcentral.
GACGAACGCUGGCGGCGUGCUUAACACAUGCAAGUCGAGCGGAAAGGCCCUUUCGGGGGUACUCGAGCGGCGAACGGGUGAGUAACACGUGAGUAACCUGCCCUGGACUUUGGGAUAACCCUCGGAAACGGGGGCUAAUACCGGAUACGACACUCUCCUGCAUGGGAUGGGUGUGGAAAGUUUUUCGGUCUGGGAUGGGCUCGCGGCCUAUCAGCUUGUUGGUGGGGUGAUGGCCUACCAAGGCGACGACGGGUGCCGGCCUGAGAGGGCGACCGGCCACACUGGGGACUGAGACACGGCCCAGACUCCUACGGGGAGGCAGC